GACAGAGGUGCCAAGCGUUAGGCGGAAUCACUGGCUUAAGCGUGUGUAGGCGGCGAUCAAGUACCUGUGAAUCCACGCUCAACCGUGGACUGCUGGUAUACUGUGUCUGAGCAGCUAGGGCGAGCGACAGACGUGAGCGUGAAUGCGUAGAUAUCGUCUGACGCGAGUGAAACAGCUCGCUGGCUGCGCUGACGCUGAGACACGAAGACAGGAGCGAACGG
This 221-nucleotide ribosomal RNA is filed under the name uncultured bacterium. Its description in RNAcentral is "partial 16S ribosomal RNA". It matches the Rfam family "Bacterial small subunit ribosomal RNA", at positions 524 to 775 of the family's 1533-position model. The record is from RNAcentral.